Molecule: ribosomal RNA, 278 nt
Filed under: Neoxabea ottei
Lineage: Eukaryota; Metazoa; Arthropoda; Insecta; Orthoptera; Gryllidae
Description: partial 12S ribosomal RNA
Source: RNAcentral
CGGUGUUUUAGUCCAUUCAGAGGAAUCUGUCUUUUAAUUGAUAAUACACGAUUGAUUUUACUUAAAUUUGUUAUCAGUUUAUAUACCGUCGUCAUAAGAAUAUUUUUGAAGAAAAUUAAAUUUCUUAAUAUUAUAUUAAAUGUUAUGUCAGAUCAAGGUGUAAUUUAUGUUUAAGUUUAGAUGGAUUACAAUAAAUUUAUUUAUAUGAAUUAAUAAUUUAAUUGUUAUUAUGAAGGUGGAUUUGAUUGUAAAUUGUAUUGAUUAUUAUUUUUGAUUUU